CUGCACUAUAUCUUCGGAAGCAUCCUGAUCCUCCACUUAUAUCUUCGGAAGUAUCCUGAUCUCCAGAAACGUCCUGAUGUAUCCUCAUCUUUGCAGAGAAUAAAACAACGAGAACGACGCGGAAAUAUUUACCAACGAGAGAAGGACGCGCAUUUAAUUUAAAAAAAUGAUUGCUUCAACUAACGAAUGUCUACGCAAAGUAAUGGGAGGAGAAGAGAGAAGCUGGCUCGACACUUUGUGCAUGAAAAGGAGAGGGAGACAUAAAAAAGCAUAAUUGGACGCCGAUGGAAUAACCUUGCAAAAUCAAGUAGACGCAAUGGAAACUUAUUUAAGGACUAUAGACAGGAUGAAGGCCUGAAAAACAGGAAGUCCUUUGGGAAUUUUCUAAAUAUAUAAUAAAAUCAGGUAACUUUUAUGGCGUCUUUAUUGUAUAUCAAUACUGAGGUAUGUAAAAAAAUUUUUUUUUCUUGAUUACUUAUAAUAAUAUAUAACGGCAGCUGUACAAAGGGUAACCUUGAACAGUUACUUUUGCCUCGUUGACAACAAAUCAAGUAUAUGCGCUGUAUGAAACAAAAAAUAAAAAAUUAUAAUAAUAAAAAAUGAAUAUAGCUGU
Molecule: long non-coding RNA, 613 nt
Organism: Cyphomyrmex costatus
Lineage: Eukaryota; Metazoa; Arthropoda; Insecta; Hymenoptera; Formicidae
Exons: 3
Source: RefSeq, a predicted model, not a curated record